AAAAAGAAAAUUCUCAGAUUGGGGAUUCUCAGAUCUGAUUCAGUGAAGCUGUUGGUACUCUCACAUUUUCAAAACCACAUCUUUAUCUUGUUUUUCUUGCAGGUUUAGAUUAGAUCCUGGAUAUUUUGAAAACUUGUUUCGGCUUCUGCUCUUAUUUAGUAUAUGCUUCUAAAGAAGUCGAAACUUACUGCAUUAAAAUGGAAUGAAACCUUUGAUU
Molecule: long non-coding RNA, 217 nt
Filed under: Dromaius novaehollandiae (emu)
Lineage: Eukaryota; Metazoa; Chordata; Aves; Casuariiformes; Dromaiidae
Description: lncRNA (ENSDNVG00000016433.1)
Source: RNAcentral